GCCAGACUCCUACGGGAGGCAGCAGUGGGGAAUAUUGCACAAUGGGGGAACCCUGAUGCAGCGACGCCGCGUGGGUGAAGGAGUAUUUCGGUAUGUAAAGCCCUAUCAGCAGGGAAGAACAAUGACGGUACCUGACUAAGAAGCACCGGCUAAAUACGUGCCAGCAGCCGCGGUAAUACGUAUGGUGCAAGCGUUAUCCGGAUUUACUGGGUGUAAAGGGAGCGUAGACGGCAUAGCAAGUCUGAAGUGAAAGCCCAAGGCUCAACCAUGGGACUGCUUUGGAAACUGUUAAGCUAGAGUGCUGGAGAGGUAAGCGGAAUUCCUAGUGUAGCGGUGAAAUGCGUAGAUAUUAGGAAGAACACCAGUGGCGAAGGCGGCUUACUGGACAGUAACUGACGUUGAGGCUCGAAAGCGUGGGGAGCAAACAGGAUUAGAUACCCCAGUACCA
This 448-nucleotide ribosomal RNA is filed under the name uncultured bacterium. Its description in RNAcentral is "bacterial SSU rRNA". It matches the Rfam family "Bacterial small subunit ribosomal RNA", at positions 330 to 797 of the family's 1533-position model. The record is from RNAcentral.